GGGUUGUGAGGUUAAGCGACUAAGCGUACACGGUGGAUGCCCUGGCAGUCAGAGGCGAUGAAGGACGUGCUAAUCUGCGAAAAGCGCCGGCGAGGUGAUAUGAACCCUUGACCCGGCGAUGUCCGAAUGGGGAAACCCAGUGUGAUUCGUCACACUAUCGUUAACUGAAUACAUAGGUUAACGAGGCGAACCGGGGGAACUGAAACAUCUAAGUACCCCGAGGAAAAGAAAUCAACCGAGAUUCCCCCAGUAGCGGCGAGCGAACGGGGAGCAGCCCAGAGUCUGAAUCAGCUUGUGUGUUAGUGGAAGCGUCUGGAAAGUCGCACGGUACAGGGUGACAGUCCCGUACACGAAAAUGCACAGGCUGUGAACUCGAAGAGUAGGGCGGGACACGUGGUAUCCUGUCUGAAUAUGGGGGGACCAUCCUCCAAGGCUAAAUACUCCUGACUGACCGAUAGUGAACCAGUACCGUGAGGGAAAGGCGAAAAGAACCCCGGCGAGGGGAGUGAAAAAGAACCUGAAACCGUGUACGUACAAGCAGUGGGAGCACCUUCGGGUGUGACUGCGUACCUUUUGUAUAAUGGGUCAGCGACUUAUAUUCUGUAGCAAGGUUAACCGUAUAGGGGAGCCGAAGGGAAACCGAGUCUUAACUGGGCGUUAAGUUGCAGGGUAUAGACCCGAAACCCGGUGAUCUAGCCAUGGGCAGGUUGAAGGUUGGGUAACACUAACUGGAGGACCGAACCGACUAAUGUUGAAAAAUUAGCGGAUGACUUGUGGCUGGGGGUGAAAGGCCAAUCAAACCGGGAGAUAGCUGGUUCUCCCCGAAAGCUAUUUAGGUAGCGCCUCGUGAACUCAUCUUCGGGGGUAGAGCACUGUUUCGGCUAGGGGGCCAUCCCGGCUUACCAACCCGAUGCAAACUACGAAUACCGAAGAAUGUUAUCACGGGAGACACACGGCGGGUGCUAACGUCCGUCGUGAAGAGGGAAACAACCCAGACCGCCAGCUAAGGUCCCAAAGUCAUGGUUAAGUGGGAAACGAUGUGGGAAGGCCCAGACAGCCAGGAUGUUGGCUUAGAAGCAGCCAUCAUUUAAAGAAAGCGUAAUAGCUCACUGGUCGAGUCGGCCUGCGCGGAAGAUGUAACGGGGCUAAACCAUGCACCGAAGCUGCGGCAGCGACACUAUGUGUUGUUGGGUAGGGGAGCGUUCUGUAAGCCGUUGAAGGUGGCCUGUGAGGGUUGCUGGAGGUAUCAGAAGUGCGAAUGCUGACAUAAGUAACGAUAAAGCGGGUGAAAAGCCCGCUCGCCGGAAGACCAAGGGUUCCUGUCCAACGUUAAUCGGGGCAGGGUGAGUCGACCCCUAAGGCGAGGCCGAAAGGCGUAGUCGAUGGGAAACAGGUUAAUAUUCCUGUACUUGGUGUUACUGCGAAGGGGGGACGGAGAAGGCUAUGUUAGCCGGGCGACGGUUGUCCCGGUUUAAGCAUGUAGGCGGAGGUUCCAGGUAAAUCCGGUACCUUUUAACGCUGAGGUGUGAUGACGAGGCACUACGGUGCUGAAGUAACAAAUGCCCUGCUUCCAGGAAAAGCCUCUAAGCAUCAGGUAACACGAAAUCGUACCCCAAACCGACACAGGUGGUCAGGUAGAGAAUACCAAGGCGCUUGAGAGAACUCGGGUGAAGGAACUAGGCAAAAUGGUGCCGUAACUUCGGGAGAAGGCACGCUGAUAUGUAGGUGAAGCCCCUGCGGGUGGAGCUGAAAUCAGUCGAAGAUACCAGCUGGCUGCAACUGUUUAUUAAAAACACAGCACUGUGCAAACACGAAAGUGGACGUAUACGGUGUGACGCCUGCCCGGUGCCGGAAGGUUAAUUGAUGGGGUUAGCGGCAACGCGAAGCUCUUGAUCGAAGCCCCGGUAAACGGCGGCCGUAACUAUAACGGUCCUAAGGUAGCGAAAUUCCUUGUCGGGUAAGUUCCGACCUGCACGAAUGGCGUAAUGAUGGCCAGGCUGUCUCCACCCGAGACUCAGUGAAAUUGAACUCGCUGUGAAGAUGCAGUGUACCCGCGGCAAGACGGAAAGACCCCGUGAACCUUUACUAUAGCUUGACACUGAACACUGGUCCUUGAUGUGUAGGAUAGGUGGGAGGCUUUGAAGCGUGGACGCCAGUCUGCGUGGAGCCAACCUUGAAAUACCACCCUUUAAUGGCUGGUGUUCUAACGUAGACCCGUAAUCCGGGUUGCGGACAGUGUCUGGUGGGUAGUUUGACUGGGGCGGUCUCCUCCCAAAGAGUAACGGAGGAGCACGAAGGUUAGCUAAUCCUGGUCGGACAUCAGGAGGUUAGUGCAAUGGCAUAAGCUAGCUUGACUGCGAGAGUGACGGCUCGAGCAGGUGCGAAAGCAGGUCAUAGUGAUCCGGUGGUUCUGAAUGGAAGGGCCAUCGCUCAACGGAUAAAAGGUACUCCGGGGAUAACAGGCUGAUACCGCCCAAGAGUUCAUAUCGACGGCGGUGUUUGGCACCUCGAUGUCGGCUCAUCACAUCCUGGGGCUGAAGUAGGUCCCAAGGGUAUGGCUGUUCGCCAUUUAAAGUGGUACGCGAGCUGGGUUUAGAACGUCGUGAGACAGUUCGGUCCCUAUCUGCCGUGGGCGCUGGAGAAUUGAGGGGGGCUGCUCCUAGUACGAGAGGACCGGAGUGGACGCAUCACUGGUGUUCGGGUUGUCAUGCCAAUGGCACUGCCCGGUAGCUAAAUGCGGAAGAGAUAAGUGCUGAAAGCAUCUAAGCACGAAACUUGCCCCGAGAUGAGUUCUCCCUGA
RNAcentral lists this ribosomal RNA (2800 nucleotides) under Enterobacter cloacae. RNAcentral describes it as "partial 23S ribosomal RNA". It matches the Rfam family "Bacterial large subunit ribosomal RNA". The record is from RNAcentral. Lineage: Bacteria; Pseudomonadati; Pseudomonadota; Gammaproteobacteria; Enterobacterales; Enterobacteriaceae.